AUUGAACGCUGGCGGCAGGCUUAACACAUGCAAGUCGAGCGGGGUGAUGGUGCUUGCACUAUCACUUAGCGGCGGACGGGUGAGUAAUGCUUAGGAAUCUGCCUAUUAGUGGGGGACAACAUCUCGAAAGGGAUGCUAAUACCGCAUACGUCCUACGGGAGAAAGCAGGGGAUCACUUGUGACCUUGUGCUAAUAGAUGAGCCUAAGUCGGAUUAGCUAGUUGGUGGGGUAAAGGCCUACCAAGGCGACGAUCUGUAGCGGGUCUGAGAGGAUGAUCCGCCACACUGGGACUGAGACACCGCCCAGACUCCUACGGGAGGCAGCAGUGGGGAAUAUUGGACAAUGGGGGGAACCCUGAUCCAGCCAUGCCGCGUGUGUGAAGAAGGCCUUAUGGUUGUAAAGCACUUUAAGCGAGGAGGAGGCUUACCUAGUUAAUACCUGGGAUAAGUGGACGUUACUCGCAGAAUAAGCACCGGCUAACUCUGUGCCAGCCGCCGCCGUAA
This 503-nucleotide ribosomal RNA is filed under the name uncultured bacterium. RNAcentral's name for it is "partial 16S ribosomal RNA". It matches the Rfam family "Bacterial small subunit ribosomal RNA", at positions 30 to 523 of the family's 1533-position model. The record is from RNAcentral.